GCUUGCUCUUGGGUGACGAGUGGCGGACGGGUGAGUAAUGUCUGGGAAACUGCCCGAUGGAGGGGGAUAACUACUGGAAACGGUAGCUAAUACCGCAUAACGUCGCAAGACCAAAGUGGGGGACCUUCGGGCCUCACACCAUCGGAUGUGCCCAGAUGGGAUUAGCUAGUAGGUGGGGUAAUGGCUCACCUAGGCGACGAUCCCUAGCUGGUCUGAGAGGAUGACCAGCCACACUGGAACUGAGACACGGUCCAGACUCCUACGGGAGGCAGCAGUGGGGAAUAUUGCACAAUGGGCGCAAGCCUGAUGCAGCCAUGCCGCGUGUAUGAAGAAGGCCUUCGGGUUGUAAAGUACUUUCAGCGAGGAGGAAGGCAUUAAGGUUAAUAACCUUGGUGAUUGACGUUACUCGCAGAAGAAGCACCGGCUAACUCCGUGCCAGCAGCCGCGGUAAUACGGAGGGUGCAAGCGUUAAUCGGAAUUACUGGGCGUAAAGCGCACGCAGGCGGUCUGUCAAGUCGGA
This 520-nucleotide ribosomal RNA is filed under the name Kluyvera cryocrescens. RNAcentral's name for it is "bacterial SSU rRNA". It matches the Rfam family "Bacterial small subunit ribosomal RNA", at positions 78 to 592 of the family's 1533-position model. The record is from RNAcentral. Lineage: Bacteria; Pseudomonadati; Pseudomonadota; Gammaproteobacteria; Enterobacterales; Enterobacteriaceae.